AUAAGCAGGUUUUUUAGGCCUACUUAUAUGCUGAACGGUGUGAGGUUGAGUUCAAUUCCCCUACAAACACUAACAUGUCGAUGCAGCUAUAGGGGGUGUCAAUCCAGUCCACUGUUAUUGCUAGCAAUCAAGACGUGUAAAGAGGCAACUAAGUCAAGCCAGAUUAUAAUGAUGAUGGGUUUCUAGUAACAAUCCUAGGUCAAGAUUCAAACAAGUAAAAAUGAGAACUUAAGAGCCCUACUCGAUCAUUGGGUCGAGUAGAAUCAACAUGCAGAACUAAAAUGCAAUCAACAAAGGAUACAAAUAGGGAUACAAAUAACAGGUAAAUGAAAGUGCAAUCAACAGGGGAUACAAAUAAAUCUAAUAGAAGUUCUAAGGAUGGAUUCAUUGAUAAGGGCAACUCUAGGGUUCAUCAGAUGGCUAAUAGGUGAAAGGUAGAUACCCUUGACGAUAGAUUCAAAAACCGGGUCUAUCCACUGUCGUGACAGAGACCCCCAUAACUCUACCACUUCCUAAUCUGAACUGUCGUUGAUGAAACAUAGCAGAGCAGGGUUUAAGAAAUAAUCUACCAAAGCCAAUAAGCAGACAAGCCAAUGUCUUGGUCGAGUCUACAAAUCUCUGGAAUUCGUAGAUCAGACAUCCAUCUGAACGUCUUUGGAUGUUGGACGUCUAUGAUCGAAUCUCCACAUUAGCCAGCGAAAACCGCAUAGGGGCCAAGCGAAUCCAGAAGGGUUCUAACCUAAUCUUAACCACCUAACUAACCUAGAGAUUACCCUAAUAUAAUCCGUCCUCAAGAACCCUAAUCACUACUCAAGCAACAUUCUCAAGAACACAAACCCAAAAAUUACUUAAAUCAUACCAAAAUGUAGAUCUAAACAAACUAAACAACUUUACUUAAACAACUAAAUGCAAAAACGAAAUAGAUUAAGAGUAAUUAAGUUUUGAAGAUUCAUAAACACAAAGAAAAAUUAAAGGAUAAAAGCUGGAUCCCUUGGACAAACCCCAAAGUA
Molecule: small RNA, 1010 nt
Filed under: Arabidopsis thaliana (thale cress)
Lineage: Eukaryota; Viridiplantae; Streptophyta; Magnoliopsida; Brassicales; Brassicaceae
Description: ATSL206110
Source: RNAcentral